AUUGAACGCUGGCGGCAUGCUUUACACAUGCAAGUCGAACGGUAACAGGCCUUCGGGUGCUGACGAGUGGCGAACGGGUGAGUAAUGCAUCGGAACGUGCCCAGAGGUGGGGGAUAACGCAGCGAAAGCUGUGCUAAUACCGCAUGUGAUCUGAGGAUGAAAGCGGGGGACCAGGCAGCAAUGUUUGGCCUCGCGCCUUUGGAGCGGCCGAUGUCAGAUUAGGUAGUUGGUGGGGUAAAGGCCUACCAAGCCGACGAUCUGUAGCUGGUCUGAGAGGACGACAGGCCACACUGGAACGGAAACAGGGCCAAUGCUCCUGAGGUAGGGAGCAGUGGGGAAUGUUGGACAAUGGGCGGAAGCAUGAUCCAGCAAUGCCGAGUGCGGUAAGGAGGCCCUCGGGUUGUAAAGCGCUUUUGUACGGAACGAAAAGGCUUUGGCUAAGACCUAGGGCUGAUGACGGUACCGUAAGAAUAAGCACCGGCUAACUACGUG
RNAcentral lists this ribosomal RNA (492 nucleotides) under uncultured bacterium. Its description in RNAcentral is "partial 16S ribosomal RNA". It matches the Rfam family "Bacterial small subunit ribosomal RNA", at positions 29 to 507 of the family's 1533-position model. The record is from RNAcentral.